AAGUCGUAACAAGGUUGUGUCCCCGGAAACCCUCUUGGAAGCCUUCCACGCCACGACGAUAAACCACGCGUGCAGUCUAGCAAUAGGCGACGUCACCCUUGUGCUGGGACGACACCUUACCCGGUGGCGGAUCAGCAGCCAGGCUUGCCUGGUCCACAGAUUAGGUGGUGACGGUCCCCGGCUUUGGCCCGGGGAUUGAGAUAUAAUCGGUCCCCAUCUGCCCCUGCAGAUGGUUGAGCGACGUUCCGUAGGUGAACCUGCGGAAGGAUCAUUA
RNAcentral lists this ribosomal RNA (274 nucleotides) under Dermatocarpon miniatum. RNAcentral describes it as "partial small subunit ribosomal RNA". Lineage: Eukaryota; Fungi; Ascomycota; Eurotiomycetes; Verrucariales; Verrucariaceae. The record is from RNAcentral.